This 469-nucleotide long non-coding RNA is filed under the name Struthio camelus australis. Its description in RNAcentral is "lncRNA (ENSSCUG00000007661.1)". Lineage: Eukaryota; Metazoa; Chordata; Aves; Struthioniformes; Struthionidae. The record is from RNAcentral.
CGGGUGCUGGACCACAGGGAACAGCACGACAAGGCCAAUGGUGAACACCACCGAGACUGUGCCGCAGAAACUGCCCGUCUCGGAUGUAGCCGAGCGCAUCGGGAAGUUCACGCUUCUGAAUGCCUUUUUUCAGCAAACACAACAAGAACCGCAGUGAAUUACGUCUUUGCUGAUGAAACCUUGCUGAUUUUUGCCGUCUGGAAGCCCAGAGCUUCAGACACCAGCACGGUGGAGGACAUGUUUGCACGGCUGAUGGCUCCUGCUGGCAGAGCUGGUCCUGCAACUUCACCUCCAGGAGCUUCAAUCAACCCAGGAACUUCAGUCAGCAUUGCCAAGGCUGUCCUCCUUUGGAGGGUAAUGAUUUGUUGACUGUUUCUGCUGUCGCUGUUACCCAGCUGCUUCCAGACGCGCGACCGCCGAGGCCAGGUCCGGGCCAUGGAGCACGCGGGGGCUCAGAGGCAGAUGCAGG